This 260-nucleotide ribosomal RNA is filed under the name uncultured bacterium. RNAcentral's name for it is "partial small subunit ribosomal RNA". It matches the Rfam family "Bacterial small subunit ribosomal RNA", at positions 26 to 291 of the family's 1533-position model. The record is from RNAcentral.
AGGACAAACGCUGGCGGCGUACCUAAGACAUGCAAGUCGAACGGACUGCAGGUUUUCGGAUUUGCAGUGAGUGGCGAACGGGUGAGUAACGCGUAGGAACCCGCCUCGACGUGGGGGGAUAACACUUGGAAACAGGUGCUAAUACCGCAUGUGGUCGGAAGAAGAAAGGCUCUAGCAAUAGAGUCGCGUUGAGAGGGGCCUGCGUCCGAUUAGCUAGUUGGUGGGGUAAAGGCUCACCAAGGCGACGAUCGGUAGCUGGU